Molecule: unclassified non-coding RNA, 365 nt
Filed under: fungal sp.
Lineage: Eukaryota; Fungi
Description: partial internal transcribed spacer region
Rfam family: Eukaryotic small subunit ribosomal RNA (bases 1-46)
Source: RNAcentral
AAGUCGUAACAAGGUAACCGUAGGUGAACCUGCGGUUGGAUCAUUAUUGAAUGAUAUAUUACUAUGUGUAUAUGUAUAGUUGUGAUUUUUUAACAAGGAUAAAUCUUCAUGAAUAUAUAUAUACAUGUAUGUAUAAAAGGGGUAUAAUCAUCAAGAUUAUACUCUGAUACAUUUUGUCAACUUGUUAUGAGCUUUAAUGGCUCAAAGUUUUUGGUGGUUUUUUUCUUUUACUUACCAAGAUUAUUCUUUGUAAAUAGGAGGGAAUCCACCUUCAACUCUAUAAACAUUUAUUUUCUAUUUUUGUCUAGUUAUCAUUGUGAUAAAAAAAGUAAAAACAACUUUUGACAACGGAUCUCUAGGCUCUC